This 484-nucleotide ribosomal RNA is filed under the name uncultured bacterium. Its description in RNAcentral is "partial 16S ribosomal RNA". It matches the Rfam family "Bacterial small subunit ribosomal RNA", at positions 30 to 507 of the family's 1533-position model. The record is from RNAcentral.
AUUGAACGCUGGCGGCAGGCCUAACACAUGCAAGUCGAGCGGAGGAAGGGAGCUUGCUCCUGGAUUCAGCGGCGGACGGGUGAGUAAUGCCUAGGAAUCUGCCUGGUAGUGGGGGAUAACGUCCGUAAACGGGCGCUAAUACCGCAUACGUCCUGAGGGAGAAAGUGGGGGAUCUUCGGACCUCACGCUAUCAGAUGAUCCUAGGUCGGAUUAGCUAGUUGGUGGGGUAAAGGCCUACCAAGGCGACGAUCCGUAACUGGUCUGAGAGGAUGAUCAGUCACCCUGGAACUGAGACACGGUCCAGACUCCUACGGGAGGCAGCAGUGGGGAAUAUUGGACAAAGGGCGAAAGCCUGAUCCAGCCAUGCCGCGUGUGUGAAGAAGGUCUUCGGAUUGUAAAGCACUUUAAGUUGGGAGGAAGGGCAGUAAGUUAAUACCUUGCUGUUUUGACGGUACCAACAGAAUAAGCACCGGCUAACUUCGUG